This 234-nucleotide unclassified non-coding RNA is filed under the name Hevea brasiliensis (rubber tree). The record is from RNAcentral. Lineage: Eukaryota; Viridiplantae; Streptophyta; Magnoliopsida; Malpighiales; Euphorbiaceae.
GCUUCUUGUCUACGAGUACGUGAGUAAUGGAUCUUUAGCAAGUUCCUUGUUCGGCAUAACCAGGCCUGACUGGAAUCGAAGAGUACAGAUUGCCCUCGGCAUUGCAAGAGGCCUGAUGUACUUACAUGAAGAGUGCAGUACCCAAAUAAUCCACUGUGACAUAAAGCCUCAAAAUAUACUAUUAGAUGAGUUCUCUACGCCCAGGAUUUCUGACUUUGGAUUGGCGAAGCUUUU